AAAACCUUCCAUUUUUGAAAAAUAUCCCCUAUUUAUACAAAGGGUAUUUUGGUAAAAAAAUCACUUGCAGGGAUGUGGGUUAUAUGGUAAAGUAAAAUUUUCUUAAAUCCAUUGCCAAUUACUCUUCACUCACCUCAGCCAACAAACGCCGAACUCGACCACACUCUAAAAUGGCGACGGCAACGACGACGGCGACGGUCUCCGAAUCCGUCAUCAAACACAAACCUCACGCAUCGCCGCUUCGCGCCAAUGAUCAAUUGAUCAAUCCGAACUAGCGAGAGUGAAUCCUCAGUUCGACGAAAACAGGAACGGAUUAACAAAUCCGUACAAAUCCGCUACCACCGGUAUGAGAUCAAAAUGACUCGUCUCAGCUCACGCAGAUAAAUACAGAUUUGAGGGAGAAGGACAUACCGGAUUCGACGGAGGUUCGAGAUGAUGCGUCCGUUGUUCUUCAACCGUCGCGCUCUGUCGUUGUUCGCUCUUCGAUCUGCGACGUCGAUGGGUUCCCUCUGGUAAAUCAUGAACAUGUGAGAACGUGCUUUCCUCCUUUUCGCUCUUUCCGUUCUCGAUUUCUUCUUCUCUGCUACUCGCGUUCUUUCUUCUCUUUGCAUUGUGAAUGAAUCCUCGACUCUGAACUCUCUUGGCCAAUGUCUUUUUUCUGUUGUGAAGGGUGAACGAUGGUUCUUUUUGUUCAGUUUGUAGCCAUUGGUUGAAGGUUAGAGAGGUUCUGGUUAUUAGGAGCUUCGUUACUUUAGCAAAGGUUGAGGUUCGACGAAAGUUAUGGUUAUGAAGUGGAGAAGUGAAGUUGCAGGGGUCUGGAGAUGAGGGUGGUUUUGUUACAGCAGGUUGAAGGAGCGUGGUUGUGAAGUGGAGAAGUGAAGUUGCAGGGGUUGGAGGACGAAGAAGAUGGCAAUGGAAGGAAGUGAGAAAAAGAUCCUCCCCGCUGAAGAUCGAUGAAGGUUAUGACAGUUCAUUCUGAUGUCCUCGAUCUGUUUGGAUUGUACUUGCCGUUGGAGUUGGUUUGAUGUUGUUGUUAGCUGCGAUGUCGUUCCUGCUGAAGUUUUGGUGUUGUAUUUGGCUUAUGCUGCAGCUGCGUUGCCGUUUCGGCAUGUUGCAGUUGGUUUUUUCAAUUACAGCUUUGGCUUGCAGCAGCGGUAGCUGAGUUUUGAUUGUUGUUGUGUUACUGUUGGCUUUGACGCUUGGAUACUGCGUUGGCUAGCUUUCUUUUCCUGGUCUUAAUGCAAAUUAUUAAAGGUUACGUAUAUGUACAGUAUUGGGAUAAUGAUUUAGAUUUGGAUUUGAAUGGAUUAAUUGGUUACGGA
Long non-coding RNA from Lathyrus oleraceus (garden pea), 1322 nucleotides. RefSeq lists it as uncharacterized. Lineage: Eukaryota; Viridiplantae; Streptophyta; Magnoliopsida; Fabales; Fabaceae. The transcript is spliced from 2 exons. The record is from RefSeq and is a predicted model, not a curated record.